Molecule: ribosomal RNA, 1272 nt
Filed under: Triticum aestivum (bread wheat)
Lineage: Eukaryota; Viridiplantae; Streptophyta; Magnoliopsida; Poales; Poaceae
Description: partial small subunit ribosomal RNA
Source: RNAcentral
AUGAAACCUGAUUGGUUCAUUUUCUCCAAGCUUGAUCAUAACGGAGGAUACCUGCACAAGUUUCCACUAGGCUCUCCAAUCCCGCAUGACAUCGGGUUAGGAUUGAUAUCACAAGUUGGGGCUUUAGUCGAGAGUUCCUUUCAGCAUCCGCGGCAUGCAUGCUCUACAGGAAGUGGUGCAGUUCAGGAAGCAUUCAGCUGCUUCAACAAGGUUGCUGGAGCUUUCUAUUUCUGCCUUUCUAGAGCAUCGAAUCCCAAGAUUUUACACAGGUUGUCCGCUAUUGCGGGCUCUGGUUCAAGAGCCUGUCGGGCACAAAUAAAGCAAGUGACCUCUUGCAUGCAGCACUUGGCUGGAUUGCAAGUCAGAGAAGAGCAUGCUAUACAAAUGCUCUUAGCCAAGCUUGCAAACGCAACGCUUGGGCGAGCGUGGAAUGAGGUUGAGGAGCGUCAUGCCUGUAACAUUCUUAUGCUAGCUGCCGCUAGUGUAAUACCACCAUUUGAAAACAUAUCGCCAAAGAUGCUUGCGGACUCAAUGAUGUUGGGAAAAGAUGGUGACCAAAUCAGAGAACAUGUUGAUCAGCCUUAUUUGGACGAAAGGCGCCCAGGUUGUGCUCGUGUUGCUGUGCCAAGAACAAUAUUGCCGGAAGAUCUGACAGAACCAAGAACUGGGAUCAAGUUCCCUACUCUUCUUGAGGAGAAUUCCAAUCCAACCGCAGAGGUGCUUGUCGGGAUGGGUUACAGAAGUAUGCGGAUAAUGAAGGUCAAAAACCUGAAUCUUUAUGCCUUUGGAUUAUAUAUACAACCAGAUUCUAUCUGCAACAAGCUGGGUUCAAAGUAUGCUACUGUUCCAGUUGCCGAGCUGAAGGAUCACCCGGAUUUCUAUGAAGAUCUUCUGAGGGAAAAUAUUCAUAUGACAGUCAGACUGGUAGUUAGCUACAAUGGGCUUAGCAUUAGUGCAGUGCGAGAUGCGUUUGAGAAAUCUCUUGGCUUUCGACUGCAAAAGAUGAAUCCUAAUACUGAUUACCAUUGCCUGAAGACAUUUGGUUCUUACUUCAGGGAAGACAUUCGAAUACCUGUGGGUACAAAGAUCGACUUCCGUCAAACAUGUGAUGGCCAGCUUAUAACUGAAGUUGAUGGCAAACAAAUUGGUGCUGUCCAGAGCAAAGAUCUUUGCAGGGCUUUCUUCGAUAUGUAUAUUGGUGACCCACCUGUUUCAGUGGAGACCAAACAAGACAUCGCCCAGAAUGUGGGUGGGCUCAUUAGAAGAUGCUAG